RNAcentral lists this long non-coding RNA (1934 nucleotides) under Phasianus colchicus (ring-necked pheasant). Its description in RNAcentral is "lncRNA (ENSPCLG00000014148.1)". Lineage: Eukaryota; Metazoa; Chordata; Aves; Galliformes; Phasianidae. The record is from RNAcentral.
AUGAUGUGUGCAUGGUGUGCAUGGUGUGUGUGCAUGGUGUGCAAUGCCGCGUGGUGUGCAAUGGCGUGCACUGCUGCACGCACGGUGCAUGGAGUGCACAGUGUGCACGUUGAGUUGCACAUUGCAUGUGUGCAACACUGCAUGGUGUGCAAUGCUGUGCAGUGCUGUGCAGUGCUGCAUGCAACGCUGCAUGGUGUGCAAUGCUGCACGGCGUGUGCGUGGUGUGUGAGCAUGGCUUGCAAUGGUGUGCAUUGUGUGUGCAAUACUGCCUGCGUGGUGCACAGCAUGCAUUGCACCCUGCAGUUUGCACAUUGCUCCUUGCACCCUGCAAGUUGCACGGCAUGCAUUGCUCCUUGCACCUGCACUGUGCACAUCAUGCAUUGCUCCCUGCAUGUUGCACAGCAUGCAUUGCACCCUGAAUUGUGUACAGCAAGACUGCAGCCUGCUGUUUGCGUUGUGCACAGCACGCAUUGCGCCCUGCAGUUUGCACAUUGCUCCUCGUACCCUGCAUGUUGCACAGCCUGCAGUUUGCAUUGUGCACAGCACGCAUUACAGCCUUGCAUUGUGCAGUGUGCAUUGCACCUGCGUUGUGCACACUGCUCCUUGCACCCUGCAUGUUGCACAGCCUGCAGUUUGCAUUGUGCACAGCAUGCAUUGCACCCUGCCUGUUGCACAGCACGCAUGGCAGCCUUGCAUUGUGCAGUGUGCAUUGCAUCUGUACGGUGCACAUUGCUCCUUGCACCCUGCAUGCUGCACAGCAUGCACUGCAGCCUGCAGUUUGCAUUGUGCACAGCAUGCAUUGCACCCUACGCACUGCACAGCAUGCAUUGUAUUCUGCAUUGUGCACACUCCUCUUUGCACCCUGCAUCUUGCACAGCCUGCACUGCACCCUGCCCGUUGCACAGCAUGCACAGCAGCCUUGCAUUGUGCAGUGUGCAUUGCACCUGCAUUGUGCACACUGCUCCUUGCACCCUGCAUUGUGUGCAGCAUGCAUUGCAGCCCUGCAUUUUGCAUGGUGCCCCUUGCACCCUGCAUGGUGCACAGCAUGCACGGCAGCCUUGCAUUGUGCACAGCAUGCAUUGCACCCUGCACAUGGCACAGAAUGCAUUGCAGCCCUGCACUUUGCACACUGUUCCUUGCACCCUGCAUGUUGCACGGCCUGCAGGUUGCAUGGUGCACAGCCUGCAGUUUGCAUUGCGCACAGCAUGCAUUGCACCCUGCCCGCUGCACAGCAUGCACUGCAGCCAUGCAUUUUGCACAUUGCUCCUUGCACCCUGCAUGCAUUGUGCCUUGCAUUGCGCACAGCAUGCAUUGCAGCUCUGCACUUCACACAUUGCUCCUUGCACCCUGCCUGUUGCACAGCAUGCACCGCAGCCUGCAGUUUGCAUGGUGCACAGCCUGCAGGUUGCAUGGUGCACAGCCUGCAGUUGUUUGAUUGUGCACAGCAUGCAGCUUGCAUUGUGCACAGUCUGCAGCUUGCAGGUUGCAUGGUGCACAACCUGCAGGUUGCAUCGUGCACAGCAUGCAUUGCUCCGUGCACGUUGCACAGCCUGCAGUUUGCACAUUGCACAGCCUGCCUUGCUGCUUGCACGUUGCACAGCCUGCAGCUUGCACAGCACACAGCCUGCAGCUUGCAUGGUGCACAGCAUGCAUUGCUCCUUGCACGUUGCACAGCCUGCAGUUCGCAUUGUGCACAGCAUGCAUUGCUCCUUGCACGUUGCACAGCCUGCAUUUUGCACGUUGCACAGCCUGCAGUUUGCACGGUGCACAGCCCGCAGGUUGCAUUGUGCACAGCAUGCAUUGCUCCUUGCACGGUGCACAGCCUGCAGUUUGCACGUUGCACAGCCCGCAGGUUGCAUUGUGCACAGCCUGCCUUGCCCCUUGCACGUUGCACACCUCCCAUCUCCCAUCGUUGCACGUCGCCCCGCCCCCCC